UCCAAUGACUCAUCUAAUCUCCCACAGAGGAACCAAAGGGCCCCAGUCAUCACCAAUCCCUUCCAGAAUUCUAAAGGUCUGACAAAUUCAUUUGAAUUGCCAGGCUUCAGCUCCAGAAUUACAUCAGGUUGGUCCUUUUAAACAAAUCCUGCCCCAAAAGUUGCUCCUGUCAUUUGUUCAGAAGGUAUCAUUGAGAAGAACAAACAUAUCCCAAAGGUUUUCAGUUUCAUCUCUGAAACAGUGAGGAGUGGACAGUUGCCUGUGGGAACGUUCUCAAGUGGAAAACAAGAACGGAUGCAGUUCCUCCCUUUCUAGUAUCAAUAGACAGUCUAACACAAGGAACCUGACAAGAUGACUGGCAGCCAUAGCUCUUCACUUUGAGUGUGAUACAUGGACAGGUUGCAUUUCGAUUGCGCUCAUGCUUCUGCACUCAAUAAGGGCCAAGAAAGCUUUGACUUUAGAGAAAGAUAUUCUCAUUCUGCUGGAUGCAGAAACCAGGAAGAUUCCCAUACAAGCCCUGGAGAUGGGAAAGAUAACCUUAUCAUAUGUCAGCAACAGAAUCCGUCCAUAUGAAAAGAACUUUCAUUUAACACUGGGAUGUGGAACAGCUGUGUCUAAUCACUUUGAAAUAUGGCAGCACUCCAGCGAGUUGAAACACUUAGAAGAAAAAAUCACCAAAUGUUUCCAACUAAGCGCACCAGACAGGAUUUAAACAUUCCUUACAAAUUGACCUCUACAUUUUGAAAUUGGUUGCUUUGUACAUCUCUGACUAAAUCAAUGGUGGCAUCAUGAUGUUCCAGGAUGAAACCCAGCGCGGACUCCCAGCAUGGACCCAAAAUCCUGGCCUCAGUGUGGACUCGAAAUCUUUGUCUCAGCCUGGACUUGAACUCCCGGCCUCAGCCUGGACUCGAACUCUCAGCCUCAGCCUGGACUCGAACUCCCGUCCUCAGCGUGGACUCAAACUCCAGGCCUCAGAGUGGACUCGAACUCCCGGCCUCAGCCUGGACUCAAACUCCCGUCCUCAGCGUGGGCUCAAACUCCAGGCCUCAGCCUGGACUUGAACUUCUGGCCACAGUGUGGACUCGGAAUCCUGCCCUCAUCUUGGACUCAGACUCCCACCCUCAGCAUGGACUUGGGCUCCUGGCACUACUGGCCUUGAGGUGAAGUCAAACACGUUCUGGGUUGAGCUCUUAUUUCUCUAUUUUUCUAAUUUAUUGCUGACUUUUUAUUUUUUCAUUUUUCAGUAUUAUUUCCCUAAGAAUCUGCAUUUGAGAAUCUAUACCUAAUUAUCUUCAUACCUAAGAUGGCGCCAUAAAUGGUGACUUGUUAAUUUUCACUGUACUCAUGUGAGUGCAUGUGGCAAUAAAGCUAAUUAAAUUCAAACUAGUCGCAUCUCCGCCACAGGCAUUUCUGAGUAGCUCCAAAUGAGAUUUAAUUCCAAACAUCAGGCCCUAACUCAUGGGAGGGGAAUGAAUCCCGGGACAUCUUUGUGUGUGAUGGAUGCCCCACUUCUGAGAGCUGCUAGCCAGUUGGUAGACCAGGAGAUCACCAUGGUUGGCAGUGCCAACUGUAUCUGUUGUUCAUUUGACAGCUGGGAUCCAAAUUGGAGACCAAGGCGAAAGGUGUGUGGGUCAUAGUCAGGGUUAGGGUUAGGGUUAGGGCAGGUUUGGAAGCCGCAGAGAGAAAGGGGAGGGCAGCUUAUAUGAAAGGCAGAGUGGGCAUCUUACUCUGGGUCCCUACACUCUUGGUGAUGGGUGAUGCCAUUAAGCAUGGAGUGCAGCAAUGGGUGAAGAAGGCAGAUGGUAUGUUGGCCUUCGUAACAAGUACAGGAACUGAGAUAUCUUAUUGCAAUUAGACAGAACAUUAGUGAGAUCACAGUGGGAGUAUUGAGUGCAGUUUUUGGUCUCAUUAUCU
Rhincodon typus (whale shark) is the source of this 1914-nucleotide long non-coding RNA. RefSeq lists it as uncharacterized. Lineage: Eukaryota; Metazoa; Chordata; Chondrichthyes; Orectolobiformes; Rhincodontidae. The transcript is spliced from 6 exons. The record is from RefSeq and is a predicted model, not a curated record.